This 506-nucleotide small RNA is filed under the name Arabidopsis thaliana (thale cress). RNAcentral's name for it is "ATSL108610". Lineage: Eukaryota; Viridiplantae; Streptophyta; Magnoliopsida; Brassicales; Brassicaceae. The record is from RNAcentral.
AAAUUUAAGUAAAAAAAAAAAAGAGAAAAAGUAAAAUUUGACUUGAAUUUUGUCUUUAUCUUACUACAUAAUAAAAUAACAAAAGGUUAUAUAAGUCAUUUACUAAAAUCUCUAUUAGACAAAAAGUUGUAUUAGAGUGGAAAGAGAAAAGUGUCUAUUUCUCCUAUUUCUAAAACAACUACUUACUUUGCAAAUUAUUUGUAGAAAAAGUGUCUACUUUCCAACUUAUCUCAAAAAUAUAUUCAUCCUCGUUACCACCAUCUCUACAUUCACAUUUUUUUCUUCCGAGAAUCCAACUUUAUGUACCAUGAUUUUAUUUUAGAAAGAAAAAAGUUGAAGUAUUAAGACAUAUAUGUUUACUGCGGUAAAUUUCUAAGAUUGAGAUUGAGACUGCAUCAAUUAAAAACGAAUACUGCGGUAAAUUUCUUUAAACGAGGAACAAAAGUUUAUGAAAAAGAGAGGGAAAACUCUAACUCAAAUUUUGGUAAAAGGUAAUUUAAAACUCA